GACGAACCGUGCGAACGUUGUUCGGAUUCACUGGGCUUAAAGGGCGCGUAGGCGGGGGGUCAAGUCUGAGGUGAAAUCUUUCGGCUCAACCGGAAAAGUGCCUCGGAUACUGACUCCCUCGAGGGGGGUAGGGGCAUGUGGAACUUCCGGUGGAGCGGUGAAAUGCGUAGAUAUCGGAAGGAACGCCGGUGGCGAAAGCGACGUGCUGGACCUCUUCUGACGCUGAGGCGCGAAAGCUAGGGGAGCAAACGGG
RNAcentral lists this ribosomal RNA (253 nucleotides) under uncultured bacterium. RNAcentral describes it as "partial 16S ribosomal RNA". It matches the Rfam family "Bacterial small subunit ribosomal RNA", at positions 524 to 776 of the family's 1533-position model. The record is from RNAcentral.